UGGCGGGAUCCCUCGCGGG
This 19-nucleotide small nuclear RNA is filed under the name Arabidopsis thaliana (thale cress). RNAcentral's name for it is "snRNA_00958". The record is from RNAcentral. Lineage: Eukaryota; Viridiplantae; Streptophyta; Magnoliopsida; Brassicales; Brassicaceae.